GAUGAAGAACGUAGCGAAAUGCGAUAAGUAAUGUGAAUUGCAGAAUUCAGUGAAUCAUCGAAUCUUUGAACGCACAUUGCGCCCCUUGGUAUUCCGAGGGGCAUGCCUGUUCGAGCGUCAUUAUAACCCCUCAAGCUCAGCUUGGUGUUGGGGCCUGCUGCACUGGCAGCCCUUAAAAUCAGUGGCGGCGCCAUCUGGCUCUAAGCGUAGUAAUUCUUCUCGCUAUGGAGUCCUGGUGGAUGCUUGCCAUCAACCCCCAAUUUUUCUAUGGUCGACCUCGGAUCAGGUAGGGAUACCCGCUGAACUUAAGCAUAUCAAUAAGCGGAGGA
Molecule: unclassified non-coding RNA, 329 nt
Filed under: soil metagenome
Description: partial contains 5.8S ribosomal RNA, internal transcribed spacer 2, and large subunit ribosomal RNA
Rfam family: 5.8S ribosomal RNA (bases 1-120)
Source: RNAcentral